Long non-coding RNA from Hermetia illucens (black soldier fly), 1121 nucleotides. RefSeq lists it as uncharacterized. The transcript is spliced from 3 exons. The record is from RefSeq and is a predicted model, not a curated record. Lineage: Eukaryota; Metazoa; Arthropoda; Insecta; Diptera; Stratiomyidae.
UUCGUUGCGGCAGUUUUCGCAAACACAAUUUGCUUAACGAUUCGAAGCUUAUCAACAAUGAAUGCCAUUGUACAUUUCUCCGUCCAUCUAUUUCUAUAUUUUUUAGCAGAACAAUGUCGUCUGAAAGAGUCAGGUUUCCUUCGAAUUGGAAGUCUACUUUCUACUGUUUUCCUAUUGGAGCGCGAAAGAUGACCUAAUAGGAAAGUAUUAUGUCGCUACGUAGACUUGAAACUGGCAGGUGACCCACUUUGCUCUUCGCUAUCAAAGCUAUCGAAUGUGGGUGCUGCAGGUAAUCCUUAUCUCUGCCAAUUAACGAGAAAUCCAACUACAAACGAGCAUCAAUGCAGUCGGCAAUGGAAACAAUACCGGGAGUACGCCUCAACCGUAAUAGAUAUAACGAUUAAGUUUAAUCAGCGAAGCGUCUGCACAGCGAUAGGCAGUGACGAAUUAUUUUGAAUGUGCUGUGACGCAUGCUGGCCUCAUCGUGUGCGCCACCACCUAUGAGUGUUUUAUUUUCGUGGAGGAACAGCAAAGUGCCGUCCAUUGAUGAAUGACGUUGUCAUCUAUGGAGUAGAAAUAUAUUAGCACUGAGUGAAUAUGUUUAGGAAAUGGUCGCGAGGAAAUGCAAUACUGACCAGGAGGGAGAAGGAGGCAACUACCCACAAACUACGAGGAAAUAAUAACCAAGGUCUAGUUUUUCAGAUACAUUGCCAACAAUGCUCGCGACAAACCUUCAUUCCACUGAUGGCGCGAUUCUCAUCAAUGAUAAAAAAAAUUUACAAGAACUUCAAACAACUUACAUAACUUAAAGAGAAAACUGGUUGCCUGCCGAAGCGAAGCCAGGCGAAAUUCCAAUUCCGCUGGGGAACUGUUAGCGCAAUCAUAAAGCGAAAAGGCUGCCGGGGGUGCAGGACCCCCGGACGAGACCGAGCUGACACGGACGCGGAUGAAAGUUCUUCGCGAGCGUUGCCCUAGACCUAGUAGAGCUCCUCGACUUAAUCAUCAAAAAAAGUUAGCACACAAACGGCGGUUUGCGUGGAUUCUCAGUUUUUUUCUUUUUCUCAUUUCUCUUGUUUUGUUUAAUAGGUUAUAUAAUAUAUAUAGUUUUGUUAUCUUUUAUA